UCCUCCUCUAGAAAAUUUACCCUACUCUUCUCAUAUCUUUUUCCGCUUCUAGAUGAUAAAGAUUUAUCUGGGAAGCUGUAUGAUUUGCCGUCCCGAACUGUACCACAUUAAAAGGUGGGCAAGACUCCUGCCUGGUCAUUUAGCGUAUGGUGUUGGAUCCCACAGCUCCCCAAAGGCAAUUUUUCCCAUCGAUGGACACCAGAUCAUUGUUGCUGAGUGGGGGAUAUGAUCUGACAUCACUAAGGUAUCAUCAAGCUCUCUUUAUUUCAUCCUGUGGGAAGUGGGACUUGGAGAUCCAGUGCAAAAAAGUUGAUACUCCGGAUACAGAUAACACUGUGAAUGGUGCAGCUCUUGGGUCUAUGGAGUCAGAACAGCUGGCUGAAAACAUCUAUAAUAUUCUCGGUUUUCCCUUUUGCUUUACCAAAGUAAGAGUGCAUUUUGAUUUCGACUCAAAAUCUCCAGUUUCAAAUUCAUUCCUGGAAUGCCAACCAUAGAAGUCUUCACAAACAGCACAG
RNAcentral lists this long non-coding RNA (515 nucleotides) under Equus caballus (horse). Its description in RNAcentral is "lncRNA (ENSECAG00000045494.1)". The record is from RNAcentral. Lineage: Eukaryota; Metazoa; Chordata; Mammalia; Perissodactyla; Equidae.